Molecule: ribosomal RNA, 515 nt
Filed under: uncultured bacterium
Lineage: Bacteria
Description: partial 16S ribosomal RNA
Rfam family: Bacterial small subunit ribosomal RNA
Source: RNAcentral
GAUGAACGCUGGCGGCGUGCCUAAUACAUGCAAGUCGAGCGAAUGGAUUAAGAGCUUGCUCUUAUGAAGUUAGCGGCGGACGGGUGAGUAACACGUGGGUAACCUGCCCAUAAGACUGGGAUAACUCCGGGAAACCGGGGCUAAUACCGGAUAACAUUUUGAACCGCAUGGUUCGAAAUUGAAAGGCGGCUUCGGCUGUCACUUACUGAUGGACCCGCGUCGCAUUAGCUAGUUGGUGAGGUAACCGCUCACCAAGGCAACGAGGCGUAGCCCACCUGAGAGGGUGAUCGGCCACACUGGGACUGAGACACGGCCCAGACUCCUACGGGAGGCAGCAGUAGGGAAUCUUCCGCAAUGGACGAAAGUCUGACGGAGCAACGCCGCGUGAGUGAUGAAGGCUUUCGGGUCGUAAAACUCUGUUGUUAGGGAAGAACAAGUGCUAGUUGAAUAAGCUGGCACCUUGACGGUACCUAACCAGAAAGCCACGGCUAACUACGUGCCAGCCGCCGCGGUAA